Molecule: ribosomal RNA, 834 nt
Filed under: Chaetothyriales sp.
Lineage: Eukaryota; Fungi; Ascomycota; Eurotiomycetes; Chaetothyriales
Description: partial large subunit ribosomal RNA
Rfam family: Eukaryotic large subunit ribosomal RNA
Source: RNAcentral
CGGCGAGUGAAGCGGCAACAGCUCAAAUUUGAAAUCUGGCCUCUCGGGGUCCGAGUUGUAAUUUGUAGAGGAUGUUUCGGGUACCGCCUCGGUUUAAAUUUCUUGGAACAGAAUGUCAAAGAGGGUGAGAAUCCCGUCUUGGACCGGUGGUAGGGCCUAUGUGAAACUCCUUCGACGAGUCGAGUUGUUUGGGAAUGCAGCUCAAAAUGGGUGGUAAAUUUCAUCUAAAGCUAAAUAUUGGCCAGAGACCGAUAGCGCACAAGUAGAGUGAUCGAAAGAUGAAAAGCACUUUGAAAAGAGAGUUAAACAGUAUGUGAAAUUGUUGAAAGGGAAGCGCUUGCAACCAGACUUGAGCGCGGCGGUUCCCCCUUGCUUCUGCUUGGGCUACUCCGCCGUGUCCAGGCCAACAUCGGUUCUGGGGGUCGGUUAAAGGCUCUGGGAAUGUAUCUACUCACGGGUAGACUUAUAGACCAGGGUGUCAUGCGACCUCCCGGGACCGAGGAACGCGCUUCGGCUCGGAUGUUGGCGUAAUGGUUGUCAGCGACCCGUCUUGAAACACGGACCAAGGAGUCUAACAUCUAUGCGAGUGUUUGGGUGUCAAACCCGGAACGCGGAAUGAAAGUGAACGGAGGUAGGAAGCUUCGGCUGCACUAUCGACCGAUCCUGAAGUUUACGGAUGGAUUUGAGUAAGAGCAUAGCUGUUGGGACCCGAAAGAUGGUGAACUAUGCCUGAAUAGGGUGAAGCCAGAGGAAACUCUGGUGGAGGCUCGCAGCGGUUCUGACGUGCAAAUCGAUCGUCAAAUUUGGGUAUAGGGGCGAAAGACUAAUCGAACC